Molecule: ribosomal RNA, 496 nt
Filed under: uncultured bacterium
Lineage: Bacteria
Description: partial 16S ribosomal RNA
Rfam family: Bacterial small subunit ribosomal RNA
Source: RNAcentral
GAUGAACGCUGGCGGCGUGCCUAAUACAUGCAAGUCGAGCGAACAGACGCGGAGCUUGCUCCUCUGACGUUAGCGGCGGACGGGUGAGUAACACGUGGAUAACCUACCUAUAAGACUGGGAUCACUUCGAGACACCGGAGCUAAUACCGGAUAAUAUAUUGAACCGCAUGGUUCAAUAGUGAAAGACGGCUUUGCUGUCACUUAUAGCUGGAUCCGCGCCGCAUUAGCUAGUUGGUACGGUAACGGCUUACCAGGGCGACGAUGCGUAGCCGACGUGAGAGGGGGUAGGGCGACACAGAAGGUGAGACGCGACCCAGGCUCCGACGUGAGGCAGAGGCAGGGAAGCUUGGGCAAUGGGCGAAAGCCUGCCGGAGCAACGCAGCGUGAGUGAUGAAGGGCUGCGGGUCGUAAAACGCUGUUAGUAGGGAAGAACAAAUGUGUAAGUAACGAUGCGCGUCUUGACGGUACCGAAUCAGAAGGCCACGGCUAACUACGU